RNAcentral lists this ribosomal RNA (629 nucleotides) under Isoptericola sp. RNAcentral's name for it is "bacterial SSU rRNA". It matches the Rfam family "Bacterial small subunit ribosomal RNA", at positions 118 to 760 of the family's 1533-position model. Lineage: Bacteria; Bacillati; Actinomycetota; Actinomycetes; Micrococcales; Promicromonosporaceae. The record is from RNAcentral.
UGAGCAACCUGCCCUCCACUUCGGGAUAAGCCUUGGAAACGGGGUCUAAUACCGGAUAUGAGCCUGCAUCGCAUGGUGUGGGUUGGAAAGUUUUUCGGUGGGGGAUGGGCUCGCGGCCUAUCAGCUUGUUGGUGGGGUGAUGGCCUACCAAGGCGUCGACGGGUAGCCGGCCUGAGAGGGCGACCGGCCACACUGGGACUGAGACACGGCCCAGACUCCUACGGGAGGCAGCAGUGGGGAAUAUUGCACAAUGGGCGAAAGCCUGAUGCAGCGACGCCGCGUGAGGGAUGACGGCCUUCGGGUUGUAAACCUCUUUCAGCAGGGAAGAAGCGCAAGUGACGGUACCUGCAGAAGAAGCGCCGGCUAACUACGUGCCAGCAGCCGCGGUAAUACGUAGGGCGCAAGCGUUGUCCGGAAUUAUUGGGCGUAAAGAGCUCGUAGGCGGUCUGUCGCGUCUGGUGUGAAAUCCCGAGGCUCAACCUCGGGCUUGCAUCGGGUACGGGCAGACUAGAGUGCGGUAGGGGAGACUGGAAUUCCUGGUGUAGCGGGUGGAAUGCGCAGAUAUCAGGAGGAACACCGAUUGGCGAAGGCAGGUCUCUGGGCCGCAACUGACGCUGAGGAGCGAAAGC